This 387-nucleotide ribosomal RNA is filed under the name Triticum aestivum (bread wheat). RNAcentral's name for it is "partial small subunit ribosomal RNA". The record is from RNAcentral. Lineage: Eukaryota; Viridiplantae; Streptophyta; Magnoliopsida; Poales; Poaceae.
AUGCCUAUAUUCAUGAUCAUUGGCUUAGAUAUCGUCAUAACUUUACGCUUUUCUAUCAAUUGCUCUGCAGUAAUGUGUUCACUCACCGUAUUAUUUUCUAUCUUGAGAGAAACCUCUAGUGAAACCUAUGGCCCCCGGGUCUAUUUUCCAUCAUACAAGUUUCUGAUAUACUAUUUGCAGUAUUUUACUUUCCGAUCUAUAAACCAAAAAUACCAAAAAUAUUUACUUUAUCAUUUAUCUCUAUCAGAUCUCACUUUUCUAAAUAACUGUGAAGGGAUUUACAACCCCUUUAUCACAUUGGGUGCAAGUUUGUUUGACUGUUUGUGCAUGUAUUCGGUGAUUUGUGUGUUGUCUCCUACUGGUUUGAUACCUUGGUUCUCAAACUGA